Molecule: long non-coding RNA, 1743 nt
Filed under: Mus musculus (house mouse)
Lineage: Eukaryota; Metazoa; Chordata; Mammalia; Rodentia; Muridae
Description: long non-coding RNA chr19:10541182-10542925
Source: RNAcentral
AAAAGCUUUAGAGUAGAAAACCAUUCUGAAAAAUCUUCAACAGCUUUAGAGACCUUGUGAUAUGCUUGUUUUACUAAGUUUUGUUAAAAGUGGGAGUUUUGAGGAGUUGGUAUAGAUGAUUGAAAAGGUAGGUCAGCUCUUCUGGCUCAGCCUGGGCUUCCUGUCUCUCAGCUCUGCUUUUUUUUUCACAGAAAGAUAUUUAUCUUGGAGGAUGAGCCUGUAGCUCUUGAGUUUUAUCCCACUAUUUUACAAUCCCAACUUAAAGCUGCUAACAAGGAUUGUUUGUGGUAUAAGAAAGAAUGGGUGUUGGCUGUUUCUGUGGAGGUGUAUAAAAUAGACCAGAAUAUGGCUAGGAGGAUCUACCUGGUCUGUUGUCUGAUUGAUUGUUCUGAAGUAAUAUACUUGAGCAGGCUCUGUAGUUCUUUCUUAUUUUUAUUUUAUGCACAUUGGUGUUUUGUAUGAAUGUAUGAGGGUGUCAGGUCCUCUGGAGCAGGAAUCACAGACAGUUGUGAGCCACCAUGUGGUUGCUGGGAAUUGAACCCAGGUCUUCUGGGAGAGCAGCCAGUGUUCUUAAACGCUGAGCCAUCUCUCCAGCCAUGACUAUGUAGAUUUUUUUUUUUUUUUUUUUUUUUUGGUUUGAGACAGGGUUUCUCUGUAUAGCCCUGGCUGUCCUGGAACUCACUUUGUAGACCAGGCUGGCCUUGAACUCAGAAAUUCUCCUGCCUCUGCCUCCCAAGUGCUGGGAUUAAAGGUGUGCGCCACCACUCCCCGCUGACUAUGUAGUUCUCAACUAUGGAUGCUGACUGGAUGAGGAAGACUGGAAACCUUCACCUCUUGUGCAUUUUCAUAGGUCUUGGUAAACUCAAACCUUUUGCAAAGUCUGUAAAACUCUACAUAGAGGCAGCCUCCUAACAGACAAGAAAGCAUUUCUCUGUGUUUGCCUCUGCAAUGUUGUUAGUGUUAACUGCUUUAACUGCUUUGGUUUUUUGAGUCAGGGUCUCUUUAUGUGUCCUGGGCUCAUUAUGUAUACCAGGCUGGCCUAGAACUCAGAAAAAUACUCCUGCCACUGCCUCUCAAGAAGUGGUAUUAAAAGCAGCCUGGCACUUAAACAGACUUAUAGCUUAGAUUGUUUCUGUCAUCUUCUACAGAAAGUAAAUGGAAUGAUAAAAAUUAGGAAUGCUUUCAAUCUACACCUUUCUCUGUUUCUUUUUUUUAAUAUUUUUCACACAGUAUAUUCUGAUCAUGGUUUCCCCUCCUUCAUCUCCUCCCAGAUCAUCCCACCCAUCAAAUUCUGUGCCUUAUUUCUCUCUUUCUUUAAAAAACAAACAGGCUUUCUCGUUCUUAUCUCACAGAAUUCUCAAAUGUAGGAUAACAUACAUAGAGCCAGCAGUUAAGCUCUGAAUGGGUUCUGUGUUUGUCUCUCUAGGUUUUUGCAACAGAUUGAGUUUCGAAAGGUGUCUACAUUAACAUCUAUAGCUUGUGGAAAUGUAGGGUAAUGAAGAUGGAACCCGCAAGUGGCUUUGGCCUUCUUUCUUUUUGGGGAUGGGCAAGGUCGGCAUGGGUGUCUUGGUCUAUCCCUUCAUUAAAUAGCACCAUCACUUUCCUUGUGAGCUAGCACAAUUGAAGCAUUACUUAAAAUUCAAAACAGCCAGCACUGGAUGUUGUGAUCAAACUUGUAAUGCUAGAACUCAGGAGACUCGGGCAAAAGAAUUAUAAGUUCAGGGUCAUUCAGGACCUUGCCUC